This 433-nucleotide ribosomal RNA is filed under the name uncultured bacterium. RNAcentral's name for it is "partial 16S ribosomal RNA". It matches the Rfam family "Bacterial small subunit ribosomal RNA", at positions 29 to 507 of the family's 1533-position model. The record is from RNAcentral.
AACGAACGCUGGCGGCAUGCCUAACACAUGCAAGUCGAACGAGACCUUCGGGUCUAGUGGCGCACGGGUGCGUAACGCGUGGGAACCUGCCCUUAGGUUCGGAAUAACUCCCCGAAAGGGGUGCUAAUACCGGAUAAUGUCUUCGGACCAAAGAUUUAUCGCCUUUGGAUGGGCCCGCGUUGGAUUAGCUAGUUGGUAGGGUAAAAGCCUACCAAGGCGACGAUCCAUAGCUGGUCUGUGAGGAUGAUCAGCCACACUGGGACUGAGACACGGCCCAGACUCGUACGGGAGGCAGCAGUGGGGAAUAUUGGACAAUGGGCGAAAGCCUGAUACAGCAAUGCCGCGUGAGUGAUGAAGGCCUUAGGGUUGUAAAGCUCUUUUACCCGGGAUGAUAAUGACAGUACCGGGAGAAUAAGCUCCGGCUAACUCCGUG